Molecule: ribosomal RNA, 473 nt
Filed under: uncultured organism
Description: partial 16S ribosomal RNA
Rfam family: Bacterial small subunit ribosomal RNA
Source: RNAcentral
ACUCCUACGGGAGGCAGCAGUGGGGAAUUUUGGACAAUGGGCGAAAGCCUGAUCCAGCAAUGCCGCGUGAGUGAAGAAGGCCUUCGGGUUGUAAAGCUCUUUUGUCAGGGAAGAAACGGUGAAAGCUAAUAUCUUUUGCUAAUGACGGUACCUGAAGAAUAAGCACCGGCUAACUACGUGCCAGCAGCCGCGGUAAUACGUAGGGUGCAAGCGUUAAUCGGAAUUACUGGGCGUAAAGCGUGCGCAGGCGGUUUUGUAAGUCUGAUGUGAAAUCCCCGGGCUCAACCUGGGAAUUGCAUUGGAGACUGCAAGGCUAGAAUCUGGCAGAGGGGGGUAGAAUUCCACGUGUAGCAGUGAAAUGCGUAGAUAUGUGGAGGAACACCGAUGGCGAAGGCAGCCCCCUGGGUCAAGAUUGACGCUCAUGCACGAAAGCGUGGGGAGCAAACAGGAUUAGAUACCCGAGUAGUCCCAUG